RNAcentral lists this ribosomal RNA (253 nucleotides) under uncultured bacterium. RNAcentral's name for it is "partial 16S ribosomal RNA". It matches the Rfam family "Bacterial small subunit ribosomal RNA", at positions 524 to 776 of the family's 1533-position model. The record is from RNAcentral.
UACGGAGGGUGCAAGCGUUAAUCGGAAUUACUGGGCGUAAAGCGAGUGUAGGCGGCUGCGUAAGUCGGAUGUGAAAGCCCUGGGCUUAACCUGGGAAUGGCACCCGAUACUGCGCGGCUCGAGUCUGACAGAGGGAUGUGGAAUUCCGGGUGUAGCGGUGAAAUGCGUAGAUAUCCGGAGGAACACCAGUGGCGAAGGCGGCAUCCUGGGUCAAGACUGACGCUGAGGCUCGAAAGCGUGGGGAGCAAACAGG